This is a long non-coding RNA of Sinocyclocheilus grahami, 366 nucleotides long. RefSeq lists it as uncharacterized. The record is from RefSeq and is a predicted model, not a curated record. NCBI's taxonomy places the organism in Eukaryota, Metazoa, Chordata, Actinopteri, Cypriniformes, Cyprinidae. The transcript is spliced from 3 exons.
UUCCUCGCCACGUGUGUGUUCCUGGUUUCCUCGUUCCAUUUGUAAUGGGACCAUGGUUUGGGCACUACAAGUCCCAGCAGCCCCAGCGUUAUAUAAGGAAGUAAUGAAGUUUGUUUGCUCUUUCGCUUCCGCUUUUGAUUUCGGGGAUGUCGUGGCGGAUUUAGAAUUUUGAAAAGAAUGAUAUAGCACUUCAAGAGAAUGGCAGCAGAUAAGCAGUUACGUUAAAUACUGCUGGAGCUUUCUUCGAGAACUGAGCAUAUGAUGCACCGAUUAAGGAGUGUUGUGGCUGGAUUAUUGCCUGACUGAUGGUUGCCUGACUGUCCCAGCCGAGAAUAGUGGAUGUUAGAGGUAUUGUGUUUAAUAUAA